Molecule: transfer RNA, 65 nt
Filed under: Paraleuctra cercia
Lineage: Eukaryota; Metazoa; Arthropoda; Insecta; Plecoptera; Leuctridae
Description: tRNA-Phe
Source: RNAcentral
AUUUAAAUAGCUUAUAUGUAGAGCGUAGCGUUGAAGUUGCUAAUGAGACUUUGAGUCUUUAAAUA